GACGAACGCUGGCGGCGUGCUUAACACAUGCAAGUCGAACGGAAAGGCCCUGCUUUUGUGGGGUGCUCGAGUGGCGAACGGGUGAGUAACACGUGAGUAACCUGCCCUUGACUUUGGGAUAACUUCAGGAAACUGGGGCUAAUACCGGAUAGGAGCUCCUGCUGCAAGGGGGGGGUUGGAAAGUUUCGGCGGUUGGGGAUGGACUCGCGGCUUAUCAGCUUGUUGGUGGGGUAGUGGCUUACCAAGGCUUUGAAGGGUAGCCGGCCUGAGAGGGUGACCGGCCACAUUGGGCCUGAGAUACGGCCCAGACUCGUACGGGAGGCAGCAGUGGGGAAUAGUGCACAAUGGGCGGAAGCCUGAUGCAGCAACGCCGCGUGCGGGAUGACGGCCUUCGGGUUGUAAACCGCUUUCGCCUGUGACGAAGCGUGAGUGACGGUAAUGGGUAAAGAAGCACCGGCUAACUACGUG
This 468-nucleotide ribosomal RNA is filed under the name uncultured bacterium. Its description in RNAcentral is "partial 16S ribosomal RNA". It matches the Rfam family "Bacterial small subunit ribosomal RNA", at positions 28 to 507 of the family's 1533-position model. The record is from RNAcentral.